GGUGACCUUGGUUAUUUGGUCUACUUCUUUCUAGCCUUCUUAUUUUGUUAUCUGUGUUAUAAAUGUUGUUCGGAUGACAUUUGUUGGCACUGGAAAGUUACCCGUGCCUGCACCAGCUCAACAAAGAUGGCAGAUUGGCCACUCCUUGCCUUUCCUAGAAUCAUUAAAUGAGGUGAAAUUUAGUUGAAGCCUUGUAGAUCCACUCCCGCUCCGGUGGACAUGUCUCAGUUAAGAUGAACAUGCAACUUUUUGCUCCAUAUUUAUUUCUACUAAUGUCGAAGGAGUCGGGGUUUUGUUGGGUAUCCUGUUCUUGUUGUCAUUCUCUUGAGUACAUGUCAAAAGACAAGAGCUACAUUCUCUGUGAGCAAGUUUUGGCAUGGCUACAAGUUCUGAAAUAUGUACUUUGACGCACUGUACUCUUAGUAUUUUUAGCAUCACUACACUUGCUGUGAGCCCAAGUUUUUAGAGUUCAAGCUAUCAUCUAGCAGGAA
Molecule: long non-coding RNA, 491 nt
Organism: Lolium rigidum
Lineage: Eukaryota; Viridiplantae; Streptophyta; Magnoliopsida; Poales; Poaceae
Exons: 3
Source: RefSeq, a predicted model, not a curated record